Molecule: long non-coding RNA, 601 nt
Filed under: Rattus norvegicus (Norway rat)
Lineage: Eukaryota; Metazoa; Chordata; Mammalia; Rodentia; Muridae
Description: long non-coding RNA NONRATT004323
Source: RNAcentral
CCCGGUAUAGCAAGGUAAACUGAGCUCCCCAGAGGCGCAUCUCCUGCCCUCUGCUUGGACUUAGCCUUCUCUCCAUCUGCCACCACAGCCUGGAGGCGCUUGCCUCCACCCUCCCGAAUGGUGCUCCUCUUCACAGGUGUCGGCCCAGGAUCCAGGCCCCCUUUGCUCCCUGAGUUGGAGCUGUUGCUGUUGGGGUCUCUUGGUGGACUCCCCGUGGUGGGGUGUGAAGAACUUUUGCACAGACGAGGCUUUAGUUAUAGGGACCUCAUCAGCAGUUUGAAUCUCAGCCUCUAACUGAAUGCCAGGCUCCUCUGUGCUCCUUCUUUUCAACCUUUGAGACUAGAAGACCCUUCUCUAUUACAUCCAAAGCCCAGGAAGCCUCAAGCUGGGGCCCUGGUCCCAGCAUGUCAGCCCUCUCUUGUGCAUAGGGCUCUGCCCUCUUCCAGCCAACAUGGCUGACCUCAAAAAGUCUCCAGGGGGCCGGGAGACACCACAGGGGGAACUUCGGCCAGAAGUGGUAGAGGACGAAGUCCCUAGGAGCCCUGUCGAAGAGGAGCCUGGAGGAGGUGGAAGCAACAGCAGUGAGACCAAAUUGUCCCCU